Molecule: long non-coding RNA, 1347 nt
Filed under: Zostera marina
Lineage: Eukaryota; Viridiplantae; Streptophyta; Magnoliopsida; Alismatales; Zosteraceae
Description: long non-coding RNA (ZMAR_LNC001202)
Source: RNAcentral
CCAACCUCUUAUUCAUGACUGUUCCCUUAUUGGCAGGAACAUUGCCUCGAUGGCGCAGGCCAAUAGCAUGUCCAAUCAGAUGUAAAGCCACUGAGUGCAGAUCUAAGGAAUUCUGAGGACGAGGAGGAGUAUCGCCUUUUGCCCAAAUCUCUCCUGAAUCAAAAGUGAGCUCUACUUGCGGACUUGGAGGAGCCGUGGCCGAAGCUACAUGAGGUCCAGGUAUUGGCAAGAAUUGAAGAACUAUGUUGGCCUGACUUUUCACCGAUGUCUGUGAAUAAAAUAUCGAUUAGAUGAGUAUUAUAUUGUUGAUGAUAAUUAUGUUACGUUAUAAAUAAAUAUGUAGAUGAGUAUUAGGAACUUACAAUUGCAAAAUUUACACACGUCUGAGCUUCCCAUGUAUCGAAAGCCUUUGUAAAUAUGUUUUUGCAGAUGUAAAAUGGAAAAGGACAAGUCGGAUCGAUGUAGAACUUCACUGUACCACACCCCCAUUUUGCACAAAAAGGAGUGAAGUCGUUAUUGACUGCACUACAGGUUUGUCCAGAUGAUGUUGUUAUGGAUGCGAGGAGGAAGAAACCAAGGAAGACAAGAUAUGACAUGGUGAAUUAAUGACUAGAAUUUAGUUUCAAGCUUUGGGAAAUUGUGUUGUGUUUAAACUCAUCAUACACACCCAUAUUUAUACAACUUUUUUACAAUGUGAAUUUAAUGAGUUGAGUAUAAAAUAUAGCCAUGUUCAAUGUAUAUUAAAACUUUUAUAAAAUUCAAAUGUAUCUGAGGAUCGUAUUAAAAAGAAUAUGUACGAUGAAUAAUUUGUGGACAUGCAUAUAUAUAUUUUCGUAACACAACUUCAAUCCGCAUAAAGUUAACGAUCUUAUCUUAAAAAAAUUGGUUGUAUUUUAAAUACAUAUUAUAAUUAUGUUUAUUAUACAAAAUUAAAUUUUAUUAUAUUUUAAGCAAAAUAAAUUACAAUUUAAUUAUAUACUAUUUUCUGAUAAAAUCGAAAAAAUAUCGCCAUUGACUGCACUACAGGUUUGUCCAGAUGAUGUUGUUAUGGAUGCGAGGAGGAAGAAACCAAGGAAGACAAGAUAUGACAUGGUGAAUUAAUGACUAGAAUUUAGUUUCAAGCUUUGGGAAAUUGUGUUGUGUUUAAACUCAUCAUACACACCCAUAUUUAUACAACUUUUUUACAAUGUGAAUUUAAUGAGUUGAGUAUAAAAUAUAGCCAUGUUCAAUGUAUAUUAAAACUUUUAUAAAAUUCAAAUGUAUCUGAGGAUCGUAUUAAAAAGAAUAUGUACGAUGAAUAAUUUGUGGACAUGCAUAUAUAUAUUUUCGUAACACAACUUCAAUCCG